Molecule: long non-coding RNA, 1214 nt
Organism: Lethenteron reissneri (Far Eastern brook lamprey)
Lineage: Eukaryota; Metazoa; Chordata; Hyperoartia; Petromyzontiformes; Petromyzontidae
Source: RefSeq, a predicted model, not a curated record
CCCCUCUCUCUCUUUAUCUCUCGCAUUUAGCGCCACAGCGCGUGGAUUUACAGCGAUUAUUUGUGUUGCUGGCGACUUUGUAUUUCAUAUCGGAAUCGCCUUCAGUGCUGUUGCUGCUGACGGCGACCGUUCCGAACAAAGACGAAACAUUUAUUUGAUUUGACCCAACCCCGGCGCACUGAGCUGGGCGGAUGGGUGCGGUUUGGGGUGUCUGAGGCUGCUGCUUCGGGUUCAAUACCGGAACCGGGUCACGAACACGCACCCACUCGCUCACGGACACCCCACACGCACACCCAUGCACGCACUGACACACACACUCACACAUACACUCACGCACACACUCACACACACACUCACGGACACACUCACACACACAUACACUCACACACACGCACACUCACGAACACCCCACCAACUCGCUCACGGACACCCUACACGCACACUCACGCACGCACUCACACACACACUCACAGACACACUCACACACACGCACACUCACGCACGCACUAACACGUACACUCACACUCACGGACACACCACACGCACACUCACGCACCCACUAACACAUACACUCACACUCACGGACACACCACACACUCACACACACACUCACGCACACACACACUCACACACCACACACUCACACAUCCACUCACGCACACACACUCACGCACACACACUCACGCACACGCACACCUCACACACACACUCACGCACACACACGCGCGUGCGGAGAGAGGAGAGAGCGGCGGGAGUCGGCGCUGCCUCCCCAUCAUGCGUGCCCACUCCACGUUCCCAUGCCCGGAGCUGUUCGAUAUCUACACGAUCGCACCAGGUACUCAUUUGAGGCUGAGUCGACCUAAGGGGCAGGACCGGUACCGGUUCAGAUAGUCGUCACUGGUGUUGGUGGCCGUGAGCGGAGAAUCGAAGUCACGUGGCCGGGUUAGUAGUGGAGUGCUCGCGCAAACAGACACGCACGCACAAAUAUUACACGUAAUCUAUUUAUAUUUGGCAACGUGUUUCCCAUGUUUGGGUUAUUCCUAAAAUUCGGAAUACUUUGGCCAAAUUAUUCACUGUGUCUAUCCAAAUGUACGAAGUCUGUAAACCCGUAACCGAUUUCCCUCUCCCCGAAAAUAUCUCCCUCCGUUCGGAAUUGAUACCGAAAGAUGACGUCACAGGAAGUCACCUGACUUAAAAUGGCGUCGUGCGCGUGG